UUCAUGUCAUGCAAAAAUAGAAAAGAAUAUCUAUCAUUUUUGCACCAUUUAAGUGACAAAUUCAUGGUUAAUACUGAGAAUGAUGCAAAUCCUGGAAUUAUGCCUUAGAAUUAAGCUAGAGGACCUGAUAUGUGGCUGUAUGAAGAAUAUCUUGCCGCUGCUGCUGAAAUGUUGUUGUUGCUGGAAUGCUGCUAUUGUUGUUUUUCAUUUUAAUUGCAGUUAUUUCUUAAUUAUUGUUUGAUUGUUUUAAGUCAGUCUUUAGCUUUGUACCUUUCACAUAUUUUACUCCUAGAUUUGAUUGCCUAAACUUUAGCUUGGAUUAGCUUCAAUCUAGUUACCUUAAGCA
Long non-coding RNA from Mangifera indica (mango), 346 nucleotides. RefSeq lists it as uncharacterized. Lineage: Eukaryota; Viridiplantae; Streptophyta; Magnoliopsida; Sapindales; Anacardiaceae. The transcript is spliced from 2 exons. The record is from RefSeq and is a predicted model, not a curated record.